RNAcentral lists this ribosomal RNA (253 nucleotides) under uncultured bacterium. RNAcentral describes it as "partial 16S ribosomal RNA". It matches the Rfam family "Bacterial small subunit ribosomal RNA", at positions 524 to 776 of the family's 1533-position model. The record is from RNAcentral.
UACGUAGGGUGCAAGCGUUAAUCGGAAUUACUGGGCGUAAAGCGUGCGCAGGCGGCCGCGCAAGUCGAGUGUGAAAGCCCCGGGCUUAACUUGGGAAUUGCGCUCGAAACUACGUGGCUGGAGUGUGGCAGAGGAAGGUGGAAUUCCACGUGUAGCGGUGAAAUGCGUAGAGAUGUGGAGGAACACCAAUGGCGAAGGCAGCCUUCUGGGCCAACACUGACGCUCAUGCACGAAAGCGUGGGGAGCAAACAGG